Long non-coding RNA from Stegostoma tigrinum, 3417 nucleotides. RefSeq lists it as uncharacterized. The transcript has 6 exons. Lineage: Eukaryota; Metazoa; Chordata; Chondrichthyes; Orectolobiformes; Stegostomatidae. The record is from RefSeq and is a predicted model, not a curated record.
ACUUGUGGCACUUUGAUAACCGCCGGGAGCUGUCAGUGAAGCGGGCUUCUGAAAAAUUUACAGUGCUAAAUCGCAGCAUAUGCUGGAGAAUUUGUCAAAAUCUUGUACAGUAUCUGGCUGCCACCUAGCGUACGGAGUGUCGCUGUAGAACUCCAGAGGAGAAAAGCCAUUCAAAGGGAGCGCGGCGCCUGCUCGCUCACAACGCGUUUUUAUACACCACCGCCCCCCCGCCAACAAAAAAAAACUUCUGCACUUUUAAUGUGAUUAAUUCUUUAGGAUUUUUGCUGUAAUUGACUCGGACGUUGCCGAGCGGGACUGCUGAUCUCCGUCGCUUGGUGUUUCUUCCCCCCCUAGAUCUGCCUGGCCACUGGCUUGACUUAGAUGACUGGGCAUGUGUCUUAUUUCUAAAACAACCGAUUGGUAACAGAUUCGCUUUUAUUCCCACCUACUCCCCCCACCUCCCCAAAAAAGCGGCUUCUUCUAACGCAGCAAAGGCAAAUCGAAGCCGGGUGCUUCAUUUCCCAAUAAGCAAACAUACUCUUUAAAAAAAACCCCAAAUCAUCAGCCGCUUCCGAGGAUCUAGGUAAAAGCGCAUCAGGAAUUAGUGUUCUAUUCCAGUCUCGGCUGACUGUCUGUGUGGAGUUUGCAAGUUCUCCCUGAAUCUCCAUGUGUUUCCUUCAGGUGGUCCAGUUUCCUCCCACAGUCCAAAGAUGUGCAGAAACACAUCUUCUUCCUUGAAACCUCCAAGUUUAAACAAGAAUGUUCUGAGGAAUUCCAAUCCUCAGUAAUUAGUCGCUGCCAACUAAAGCUGCUGCUUGGGAUUUUUGAAGUGAAGAACAAGCAUCAUACUGUCAAUGGAAUUGCAUAACACACUGUAAAAAGAGUCUCAGAAUUCCAUAAACGAUGAGAUUAUUUGCAAUUUAAUCUGCUUUUGAAAUGUUGGCAAGACCACAAUGCAAACUCUAAUACAAAAGUGAAAUCAUGUUGCUGCAGAAAAUCUGAAACAAACGCAAAAGCCUGGAGCUGGAAAACAUCACGAGGAGGUCACAGAACAGAAAGAACAGACCAGUGACAGUUUCAUUUGUUACUUGAAGCACGUGGCCAGCAGUCACCAAUCCUCAGAAGUGAGUGGACUCCAGAAUGUCACAUCUGGAAAGAAGAGACAUUCACAGGAAGGCAUUGAUGUGAAUGUAUCAGCAAAGACAAACUAGCAAAGGAAUGACUUUGUGAAAAAUGCUCUGUUGGGUUAAAGAUGAAAAUUAACACAUUGCAUUCUUUUUAAAGAGCUGUCCUUGUGACUCCUGCAGUCUGAUGUAACCUCAUUCUAAUGCUUGGGCAGAAAUAUUUUCGUUCAAGGAAGGACAUGUUCUAGGAAAGAAACUACUAAUGGAUUAUUUUUGUAAAUAUAUACAUAUCAUACAUAUUUAAUGAUUUAAUUCAUUAACAUUUAUCUUUCUCUGUUUAAAGUUCGAUGGUUGCGUUGAGAAGAUAUCUCCAGUAGAGUAUAAUGUUGGGCUCUAAAAUAUUAAUGUACCAAAUAAAUAUGCUUAUAACAUAUUGUCCCAAAUUUCACUGAUACAUGCGAAUGGCAAUAUUAUGAAACAUGUUCAGUUUAGGAGUCGGUCUAUAAAUAUGUGAUAAGAAUUUGUGUGCAUUAGAAGUAAUAAUAGAUUAAGGGAUGCCCACCAAACAAAUUACAUGUUCCAAACCUAAGUAGCUUAUCAUAUCAUCUUAAUUCUGCUUUGAAAUUAAUUCCUAUAUUUAGGUCUAUAAAACUCUGGUUAGACCACACUUGGAGUAUUGUGUUCAGUUCUGGUCAUCUCGUUAUAGGAAGGAUGAGGAAGCUUUAAAAAUGGCGCAAAGGAGAUUUACCAGGAUUCUGCCUGGACUGGAGGGCAGAUCUUAUGAGGAAAAGUGAGGAAACUAAGGCUUUUCUCAUUGGAACGAAGAAGGAUGAAAGGUGACUUGAUAGAGGUGUACAAAAUGAUGAGGCAUAGAUAGAGUGGAUAGUUAGAGGCUUCUUCCCAGGGCAGAAAUGACUAUUAUGAGAGGCAUAAUUUCAAGGUGAUUGGAGGAAGGUAUAGGGGAGAUGUCAGAGGUAGAGUGGUGGGCGUGAGGAAUGCCCUGCCAGCAGUGGUGGUGGAGUCAGAUACUUUAGAGACUUCUAAGUGACUCUUGGAUAGGCACAUGGAGGAUAGUAAAAUGUAGGGUAUGCAGGGUAGAUUGAUCUUAAUAGGAUAAUAGGCCAGCACAACAUCGUGGGCCGAAGGGCCUGUACUGUGCUGUACCGUUCAAUAUUCUAUGUUCUACGUUCUAUUUAUUCUUUAAACAUAGUAAGAUACAACUUGAAUACUUCUUGGAUUGAAUUUUCUCCAGUCCUACCAGUCUAGGUAUCAUCUUGCGCUCUUUCUCAUUUAAUACUAUCCUUUCUAUAGUAGGAUGACCAGAACUGCAUGCAGUAAUCCAAAUGUGGUCUCACCAAUGUCUUAUACAGCUGCAAUAAGAUGUCCCACCUCCUAUACUCAAUGCUGUAACAGAAGAAAGUAAACAUGCUGAAAGCCUUCUUCGCCAUGUGACUCCACUUUCAAGGAGCUGUGAAUCUGUAUCCCUGGAUCUCUUUGUCAUAGAAUCACAGAAAGGUUAAUAAGAUGAAGAGAUCUAGGGGUACAGGCUCAUAGCUUUCUUUAGUUGACUACAGAUGGCAGGUCUGUCUAUUAGAGUUCUUCUUAUUUGUUGGAAUGCUUCUAUUCUGCACUUUUGGAAUGGCACCUUAAAUGGUUGCUCUUGCAUGAGGAUGGGGCUGGCCAAAGGAUACUUGGCAAAGUGCACACAGGAGAAUCUUUAAAAAAUGUGUCCCUACCUGGACAAGUGGAAAAGAUACUUUACUCUUCUGAAAAGGGUGCCUUGUGGUGAAGUUCUGCUGCCCACUACGCUGCACAGGAACAACUCUUAGCUUGUCUUAUACUUCCUUUGACAUUGAAGGGACCCUAGCACCAAUCUCACUGUCACCAAAUUCUUCAUGGUCUUGUCUUUGGUAGUUUGCUCAAAGCUAAGUACUUGGCAAGAGGAAAGAAACUUGGGAAUGUUCCACUGCAGUUCACUCACAUUCCUACUUUGCCGAUCAAUCCGAGGAUGAAGCCUGGAAAUCCUGGUAGACUAUAAAUGGGGAGGAGAGCGUGGCUGAGUUCAGUCAGUUCCACUUUUCCUUGAACUUAAUGCCUGAGAAAUCAAUAAUUCUCCAGGGACAAAGGGCAGGAAAAUCCAGUUUUGUAUGUCAUGGUGAUGUAAUCUGUAGUUAUAGCAGAUUGUAUGAUUUAAAAGUGAUAUUAUAUGGAGCCCGUUAACAGAAGAACAGCAAGAAUAAAGUGUAACUGUUGUAAAGUAAUUGCAAUGCAAUAAAUACUGCAAAGGCAACAA